AUGAACGCUGGCGGCGUGCCUAACACAUGCAAGUCGAGCGGCAGCGAGGGGUGCUUGCACCCUGUCGGCGAGCGGCGGACGGCUGAGUAACGCGUGGGAACGUGCCCCAAAGUGAGGAAUAACUGCCCGAAAGGGUAGCUAAUACCGCAUAUUAUCUUCGGAUCAAAGGAUUUAUCCGCUUUGGGAGCGGCUCGCGUCGGCUUAGGUAGUUGGUGAGGUAAUGGCUCACCAAGCCGACGAUCCGUAGCUGGUCUGAGAGGAUGACCAGCCAGACUGGAACUGAGACACGGUCCAGACUCCUACGGGAGGCAGCAGUGAGGAAUCUUCCACAAUGGGCGAAAGCCUGAUGGAGCAACGCCGCGUGCAGGACGAAGGCCUUCGGGUUGUAAACUGCUUUUAUAAGUGAGGAAUAUGACGGUAACUUAUGAAUAAGGAUCGGCUAACUACGUG
Molecule: ribosomal RNA, 450 nt
Filed under: uncultured bacterium
Lineage: Bacteria
Description: partial 16S ribosomal RNA
Rfam family: Bacterial small subunit ribosomal RNA
Source: RNAcentral